Molecule: long non-coding RNA, 883 nt
Filed under: Homo sapiens (human)
Lineage: Eukaryota; Metazoa; Chordata; Mammalia; Primates; Hominidae
Description: HSALNT0267524
Source: RNAcentral
CCCACCCCUGCCUCCCAAAGUGCUGGGAUUACAGGUGUGAGCCACCGUGCCCAGCCAAAGCAUCUCAAUCUUUUUUUUUUUUUUUUUUUUUUUUUUUGAGACAUGGUUUAGCUCUGCAGCCCAGGUUAGAGUGUAGUGGAGUGAUCUAGGCUCUCUGCAAUCUUUACCUCCCUGGCUCAAGCUAUUCUCCCACCUCAGCCUCCUGAGUAGCUGGGACUAUAGACACACACCACCAGGCUUGGCUAAUUUUUUUUUGUACUUUUUGUAGAGACAGGGUUUCACUAUGUUGCCCAGGCUGGUCUUGAGCUCAUGAGCUUAAGCAAUCCUCCUGCCUCGGCCUCCCAAAUUGCUGGGAUUACAGGCGUGACCCACUGCGCCUGGCUGGUAUCUCGAAGUUAACAUGUCCAAAACAAAGGUCUUGACUCAUAUUCCUUCCACUCUGCCCCAGUCUGCUCCUCCCUCAGUCUUCAGCCUCAAUAAUGGCACUACCGCCUACUCAAAAGUUCAAGCCAGCAACUUUGAGUUCAUUCUAGAAAGCUUGCACCCUCACUCCGCCUCCACUCCAUCAUGAAAUUCCAUUCAAAAUAUAUCCAGAAACCAUUGCUGCUCACCAUCAUUGCUGCAACCGCCCUGCCUGAGCCCCCAUUGUCACUUGAAUGGAUUAUUGCAAUGGCUUCUCCACUGACCCCUGCUUCUCCAUUUACCCACUACAAUCUUUCUCUAUGAAAAGCCACGGUGAGUCUUAAAAUGUAAAUCAGAUCAUGUGCCUUAGUUGCUCAAAAACUCCAGUGGUUUCUCAACACACCUAGAAUUAAAAUCCAAAGCCUCAGCUGGGCGCGGUGGCUCACACCUGUAAUCCCAGUGCUUUGGGAGGCCGAGGCGG